AAUAGAGGAUUCCAAGUUAAUUUUGAAUUUUAGAUAAGCAAUUGAUCAUUUUUAGCAUAAGUAUGCCCUAUGCAAUAUUUGGGAUAUACUUAUACUAAAAAAUGAUUUGUUUAUCUGAAAUUCAAAUUUAACUGGGUGUCCUGUAUUUU
This 149-nucleotide microRNA precursor is filed under the name Pteropus vampyrus (large flying fox). RNAcentral describes it as "miRNA (ENSPVAG00000024453.1)". The stretch from base 49 to 100 matches the Rfam family "mir-1302 microRNA precursor family". Lineage: Eukaryota; Metazoa; Chordata; Mammalia; Chiroptera; Pteropodidae. The record is from RNAcentral.